ACUGUCUCCCCUUGCCCCAGUAGUGCCAUGUCUGCACUUCACAAGUGUUUCACUGCAGGGAUCCUCCCGCACUAUGGAAGCUGCAGGCAUUCUGCACAUAUAUUCAACUCAGAUAUGCCCAAAACUGUCUCCAGGAACAACCCUCAACCAGUGGGAGACAGGAGCCCAAGUGGUCAGGGAGGAGGUGACCUUUAAAACCUUCCCAAUGCAAACAGUUACCCUCCUGACACAAUACGAGAAACAAUGUGAAUAUCAAACAAUUCAACCCAUGUUUGAGUGCCUGGCCCUAGCAACUUCUAGUCCACUUUCCAUGUCCAUGAAUUUAGUGUCUCUUAGUACUUCAUAUAAGUGUAAUCAUACAAUACUUGUACUUUGUGUCUGGCUUAUUUCACUUAGUAUCAUGUCUUCAAGGUUCAUUCAUGCUGUAGCAAAUUUUAGAACUUCAUCCCUUUUUAUUUU
Long non-coding RNA from Myotis davidii, 459 nucleotides. RefSeq lists it as uncharacterized. The transcript has 2 exons. The record is from RefSeq and is a predicted model, not a curated record. NCBI's taxonomy places the organism in Eukaryota, Metazoa, Chordata, Mammalia, Chiroptera, Vespertilionidae.